Dromaius novaehollandiae (emu) is the source of this 706-nucleotide long non-coding RNA. RefSeq lists it as uncharacterized. NCBI's taxonomy places the organism in Eukaryota, Metazoa, Chordata, Aves, Casuariiformes, Dromaiidae. The transcript has 5 exons. The record is from RefSeq and is a predicted model, not a curated record.
AAUGGACACGGCUCUCGCGCAGGCUCACACCUGCAUUCCCCCCUCCCCGCCGCCGGGGCCGUUAGUGCGGGGGGUGGGGAGCGGCUUUCCCCGAUUUUAGGCAAUGGCCCCUGGAAGCAAAUUUAAGAACUCUGAAUUGAUAUUACCAUGUGAAUGGGAAGAAUGCUUCUUUGUAGGAAAAUGCAUGGAGGAAUUUUAUAAUCACAUUGCGGAACACUUGAAAGAGUAUCUACAGCAUCCCUUGGAAAAAGCAGAGCAGUACCAGUGUUGGUGGAGAAGUUGUGAAUUUUUGGCAAAAGAUCCCAGAGAGCUGAUAAUGCAUGUCAAUUUUCACAGUUACCACACCAAACUCAAAUUCAUAGGCUCUCAGUUACGGGCACUGCAUCAUAAUUUGCCAGCAUGUUUGCAGAACAGCCAUAGCCAACAUCAGUUACCAAGGAUCUCAGAGGAAUUUGUUUGCCACUGGGAGAAUUGCGAUACUGUUCCGGAGUAUUUAAGGGAAAGUACAAGCUAUGGGAUCAUUUAAGAACCCACACACAAGAAAGAGUUGUGUCCUGUCCAACUUGUGGAAGAAUGUUCUCCAAUAGCACUAAAUUUUUCGAUCAUGUGAAGAGACAAGUUUCAGAAGAUAAACAAAUAUUGGCUUGCCAGAACUGUGACAAGCACUUUGCCAAUGAAAGGCUGCUACGAGAUCACAUGAGAGGAC